CAUUUUCAUUGUGGAGCUGGGCUGGAGAGCCUGGAGAUGCAAACCGCGAAGGCGUGAGCACUAAGCGGCACGAGUGUCUGCUCCUGAUGGAGGACUAAAGAGCGUCCCGUGUCCCCGUUGCUAUGUGUCUCUGUACAUUUCUCACGAUUACAUCGCAUCCUCCUCUGCUCAUAGCAUCGCCUUGGUUAACCAGGGGGCACUUGAAGAAAGGCAUGGCCAGAUUGACGGCGAAACUGCAAAAUGGCAGCGGGUCUGAGAGGAACACAGAUGAGCUCCAGUCGAUAAAGCUGCACCUGCAGAAGCGCAGCCGCCGCAGAGGCAGGACACCAGGGGACACCUGAGUUUGUCCUUGUGUCGUGUUUUUUAAAGUCUUAGAGGCAGAAUCAAAGGCAGGGGCUCGCCAGUAUGUCGCGGUGCCAAACACCAGAGA
This 430-nucleotide long non-coding RNA is filed under the name Sus scrofa (pig). Its description in RNAcentral is "lncRNA (ENSSSCG00070010115.1)". The record is from RNAcentral. Lineage: Eukaryota; Metazoa; Chordata; Mammalia; Artiodactyla; Suidae.